RNAcentral lists this ribosomal RNA (211 nucleotides) under uncultured bacterium. RNAcentral's name for it is "partial 16S ribosomal RNA". It matches the Rfam family "Bacterial small subunit ribosomal RNA", at positions 524 to 734 of the family's 1533-position model. The record is from RNAcentral.
UACGGAGGGUGCGAGCGUUAAUCGGAAUUACUGGGCGUAAAGGGCGCGCAGGCGGUCUUGUAAGUCAGAUGUGAAAUCCCCGGGCUGAACCUGGGAAUUGCAUUUGAGACUGGGAGGCUAGAGUCCGGUAGGGGGGGGUAGAAUUCCACGUGUAGCGGUGAAAUGCGUAGAGAUGUGGAGGAAUACCGAAGGCGAAGGCAGCCCCCUGGGA